This 235-nucleotide ribosomal RNA is filed under the name uncultured bacterium. RNAcentral's name for it is "partial 16S ribosomal RNA". It matches the Rfam family "Bacterial small subunit ribosomal RNA", at positions 524 to 758 of the family's 1533-position model. The record is from RNAcentral.
UACGUAGGGUGCAAGCGUUAAUCGGAAUUACUGGGCGUAAAGCGUGCGCAGGCGGCUAUGCAAGACAGAUGUGAAAUCCCCGGGCUCAACCUGGGAACUGCAUUUGUGACUGCAUAGCUAGAGUACGGUAGAGGGGAUGGAAUUCCGCGUGUAGCAGUGAAAUGCGUAGAUAUGCGGAGGAACACCGAUGGCGGAAGGCAAUCCCCUGGACCUGUACUGACGCUCAUGCACGAAA